RNAcentral lists this ribosomal RNA (565 nucleotides) under Vishniacozyma victoriae. Its description in RNAcentral is "eukaryotic LSU rRNA". It matches the Rfam family "Eukaryotic large subunit ribosomal RNA", at positions 85 to 640 of the family's 3401-position model. Lineage: Eukaryota; Fungi; Basidiomycota; Tremellomycetes; Tremellales; Bulleribasidiaceae. The record is from RNAcentral.
UACGGCGAGUGAACCGGGAUGAGCUCAAAUUUAAAAUCUGGCGUCUUUCAGGCGUCCGAGUUGUAAUCUAUAGAGGCGUUUUCCGCGCCGGACCGCGUCCAAGUCUCUUGGAAUAGAGUAUCAAAGAGGGUGACAAUCCCGUACUUGACGCGACAACCGGUGCUCUGUGAUACGUUCUCAAUGAGUCGAGUUGUUUGGGAAUGCAGCUCUAAAUGGGUGGUAAAUUCCAUCUAAGGCUAAAUAUUGGCGAGAGACCGAUAGCGAACAAGUACCGUGAGGGAAAGAUGAAAAGCACUUUGGAAAGAGAGUUAAACAGCACGUGAAAUUGUUAAAAGGGAAACGAUUGAAGUCAGUCGUGUGAAAGGUAUUCAGCCGUCUCUGGCGGUGUAUUUGCCUUUCACGGGUCAACAUCAGUUUGAUCCGGUAGAAAAAGGCGGGAGGAAGGUGGCACCCUCGGGUGUGUUAUAGCCUCCUGUCAUAUGUGCCGGACCAGACUGAGGAACGCAGCUUGCCGCAAGGCCGGGGUUCGCCCACGUACAAGCUUAGGAUGUUGACAUAAUGGCUU